CCAAUAGCGUAUAUUAAAGUUGUUGCAGUUAAAAAGCUCGUAGUUGAAUUUCGGGAUUGACGUGAUGGUCGUGCCUUACGGGGUAUGAACUGUUGCUGUUGAUUUCUCACCUUCUGGAGAAACUUGAUGUCCUUAAUUGGGUGUCUUGCGGAUCCAGGACCUUUACCUUGAAAAAAUUAGAGUGUUUAAAGCAGGCAUUUUUGCUCGAAUACAUUAGCAUGGAAUAAUAGAAUAGGACGGCAUGGUUCUAUUUUGUUGGUUUCUAGGAUCACCGUAAUGAUUAAUAGGGAUAGUUGGGGGCAUUAGUAUUCAAUUGUCAGAGGUGAAAUUCUUGGAUUUAUUGAAGACUAACUACUGCGAAAGCAUUUGCCAAGGAUGUUUUCAUUAAUCAAGAACGAAAGUUAGGGGAUCGAAGACGAUCAGAUACCGUCGUAGUCUUAACCAUAAACUAUGCCGACUAGGAAUCAGACGAUGUUAAUUUUUUAAUGACUCGUUUGGCACCUUACG
Molecule: ribosomal RNA, 507 nt
Filed under: uncultured Glomeromycotina
Lineage: Eukaryota; Fungi; Glomeromycota
Description: partial small subunit ribosomal RNA
Rfam family: Eukaryotic small subunit ribosomal RNA
Source: RNAcentral